GAAUUUUAGAUCAACCUGUUGGUACGACGAUCAAGGAACAUGACAACUGGUGGAUAACAACUGACAGCUAUUUUCAAACCAAAACAGACUGAGAUAAUAUGACGACGCUUAUAUAUAGAUGGUUUCCCGAAUAUUUACAUGAUUCUACCCUAGGAAUAAGGUAUCUACAUAGCCUGUACCACCUAUAUCAAUACUUUCACAAAAAGAAGUUCUAAUCAGAAACCAAGAAAGAAGAUUGGUUGGUUCUUAGUACCUGAAAGAGUUUAUCUAGCUGUAUGUCAAAUUGAGUGGUCUCCUUUCACUAUUGUACUACGAAUCACACUAGACGUUAUGUGCCUAACGAUACUAAAGGUAAAGUAAAUGGUCACAAAAAA
This is a long non-coding RNA of Anoplophora glabripennis (Asian longhorned beetle), 374 nucleotides long. RefSeq lists it as uncharacterized. NCBI's taxonomy places the organism in Eukaryota, Metazoa, Arthropoda, Insecta, Coleoptera, Cerambycidae. The record is from RefSeq and is a predicted model, not a curated record. The transcript has 2 exons.